This 348-nucleotide unclassified non-coding RNA is filed under the name soil metagenome. Its description in RNAcentral is "partial contains 5.8S ribosomal RNA, internal transcribed spacer 2, and large subunit ribosomal RNA". The stretch from base 1 to 120 matches the Rfam family "5.8S ribosomal RNA", at positions 35 to 154 of the family's 154-position model. The record is from RNAcentral.
GAUGAAGAACGCAGCGAAAUGCGAUAAGUAAUGUGAAUUGCAGAAUUCAGUGAAUCAUCGAGUCUUUGAACGCACAUUGCGCCCCCUGGUAUUCCGGGGGGCAUGCCUGUCCGAGCGUCAUUGCUGCCCUCAAGCUCGGCUUGUGUGUUGGGCCCCGCCCCCCGGCUCCCGGGGGGCGGGCCCGAAAGGCAGCGGCGGCACCGCGUCCGGUCCUCGAGCGUAUGGGGCUUCGUCACCCGCUCCGUAGGCCCGGCCGGCGCCCGCCGGCGACCCCCCUCAAUCUUUUCAGGUUGACCUCGGAUCAGGUAGGGAUACCCGCUGAACUUAAGCAUAUCAAUAAGCGGAGGA